Molecule: unclassified non-coding RNA, 330 nt
Filed under: fungal sp.
Lineage: Eukaryota; Fungi
Description: partial internal transcribed spacer region
Rfam family: Eukaryotic small subunit ribosomal RNA (bases 1-46)
Source: RNAcentral
AAGUCGUAACAAGGUUUCCGUAGGUGAACCUGCGGAAGGAUCAUUAACACGUAUCCACGUAUCAACCCCUUUGUGCUUUUUGUUUGAACGUAUACCCUGUCAAUUGGCCCCUUCGCGGGGCCGGAACGUUGAAUGGUUUGGGCGCGCAAGUGCCCAAGUUCUUUGUGACAGGUUAUCAUUUACAUGUUAACCAUUCAGACAUGGCCCUUUUACAAUUUAUUAACCCCUUUGUAACAUUCUUGCUAAUCUAAUUUGAUGGUUUGGACUUUGUUCCGAAUAUCAAUAUUACGAAAUGCUUGACAACUCUUAGCAACGGAUAUCUUGGUUCUC